RNAcentral lists this microRNA (17 nucleotides) under Corchorus capsularis. Its description in RNAcentral is "sRNA CCACVL1_24310". Lineage: Eukaryota; Viridiplantae; Streptophyta; Magnoliopsida; Malvales; Malvaceae. The record is from RNAcentral.
GGCAUGGGAGGAGUUGG